GAGUUUGAUCCUGGCUCAGGGACGAACGCUGGCGGCGUGCCUAAAACAUGCAAGUCGAACGAGGUCCAUCUGACCGUAAGGUCAGGGAAGACCUAGUGGCGAACGGGUGAGUAACACGUGAGGAACCUGCCCCGAAGUCUGGGAUAAGCUGGGGAAACCUGGUCUAAUACCGGAUCCCCUCUACGGAUCGCAUGGUCUGUUGAGGAAAGAAUUUCGCUUCGGGAGGGCCUCGCGGCCUAUCAGCUAGUUGGUGGGGUAACGGCCCACCAAGGCAUCGACGGGUAGCUGGUCUGAGAGGACGAUCAGCCACACUGGGACUGAGACACGGCCCAGACUCCUACGGGAGGCAGCAGUUAGGAAUCUUGCGCAAUGGGCGAAAGCCUGACGCAGCAACGCCGCGUGCGGGAGGAAGGCCCUCGGGUUGUAAACCGCUUUCAGUAGGGACGAAAUCAGACGGUACCUACAGAAGAAGCCCCGGCCAACUACGUGCCAGCAGCCGCGGUAACACGUAGGGGGCGAGCGUUGUCCGGAUUUAUUGGGCGUAAAGAGCUCGUAGGCGGCUUGGUAAGUCAGGUGUGAAACCUCCAGGCUCAACCUGGAGACGCCACUUGAUACUGCCAUAGCUAGAGUCCGGUAGGGGAGCGUGGAAUUUCUGGUGUAGCGGUGAAAUGCGCAGAUAUCAGAAGGAACACCAGCGGCGAAGGCGGCGCUCUGGGCCGGAACUGACGCUGAGGAGCGAAAGCGUGGGUAGCAAACAGGAUUAGAUACCCUGGUAGUCCACGCCGUAAACGUUGGGCACUAGGUGUGGGACCCUGUCAACGGGUUCCGUGCCGUAGCUAACGCAUUAAGUGCCCCGCCUGGGGAGUACGGCCGCAAGGCUAAAACUCAAAGGAAUUGACGGGGACCCGCACAAGCGGUGGAUGAUGUGGAUUAAUUCGAUGCAACGCGAAAAACCUUACCUACCCUUGACAUGUCUGGAAUGCCGAAGAGAUUUGGCAGUGCUCGCAAGAGAACCGGAACACAGGUGCUGCAUGGCUGUCGUCAGCUCGUGUCGUGAGAUGUUGGGUUAAGUCCCGCAACGAGCGCAACCCUUGUCAUUAGUUGCUACGAAAGGGCACUCUAAUGAGACUGCCGGUGACAAACCGGAGGAAGGUGGGGAUGACGUCAAGUCCUCAUGGCCCUUAUAGGUGGGGCUACACACGUCAUACAAUGGCUGGUACAAAGGGUUGCCAACCCGCGAGGGGGAGCUAAUCCCAUAAAGCCAGUCGUAGUCCGGAUCGCAGUCUGCAACUCGACUGCGUGAAGUCGGAAUCGCUGGUAAUCGUGGAUCAGAAUGUCACGGUGAAUACGUUCCCGGGUCAUGUACACACCGCCCGUCACACCAUGGGAGCGGGUCUCGCCAGAAGUAGGUAGCCUAACCGCAAGGAGGGCGCUUACCACGGCGGGGUUCGUGACUGGGGUGAAGUCGUAACAAGGUAGCCGUAUCGGAAGGUGCGGCUGGAUCACCUCCUUUCU
This 1515-nucleotide ribosomal RNA is filed under the name uncultured bacterium. RNAcentral's name for it is "16S ribosomal RNA". It matches the Rfam family "Bacterial small subunit ribosomal RNA". The record is from RNAcentral.